UACGGAGGGGGCUAGCGUUGUUCGGAAUUACUGGGCGUAAAGCGUACGUAGGCGGCUUGGUAAGUUAGAGGUGAAAGCCCGGAGCUCAACUUCGGAAUUGCCUUUAAGACUGCUUGGCUUGAACGUCGGAGAGGUGAGUGGAAUUCCGAGUGUAGAGGUGAAAUUCGUAGAUAUUCGGAAGAACACCAGUGGCGAAGGCGGCUCACUGGACGACUGUUGACGCUGAGGUACGAAAGCGUGGGGAGCAAACAGGAUUAGAAACCCCCGUAGUCC
This 273-nucleotide ribosomal RNA is filed under the name uncultured bacterium. RNAcentral describes it as "partial 16S ribosomal RNA". It matches the Rfam family "Bacterial small subunit ribosomal RNA", at positions 524 to 796 of the family's 1533-position model. The record is from RNAcentral.